UAGGGAAUAUUGGGCAAUGGACGCAAGUCUGACCCAGCCAUGCCGCGUGCAGGAUGAAGGCGUUAUGCGUUGUAAACUGCUUUUAUACAGGAAGAAACGACUCUUGCGAGAGGCAUUGACGGUACUGUAUGAAUAAGCACCGGCUAACUCCGUGCCAGCAGCCGCGGUAAUACGGAGGGUGCAAGCGUUGUCCGGAUUUAUUGGGUUUAAAGGGUGCGCAGGUGGUUUAUUAAGUCAGUGGUGAAAGACGGUCGCUCAACGAUUGCAGUGCCAUUGAAACUGGUAGACUUGAGUAAAGUAGAGGUGGGCGGAAUUGAUAGUGUAGCGGUGAAAUGCAUAGAUAUUAUCAAGAACUCCAAUUGCGUAGGCAGCUCACUUGGCUUUUACUGACACUCAUGCACGAAAGUGUGGGUAUCAAACAGG
Molecule: ribosomal RNA, 423 nt
Filed under: uncultured Arcicella sp.
Lineage: Bacteria; Pseudomonadati; Bacteroidota; Cytophagia; Cytophagales; Flectobacillaceae
Description: bacterial SSU rRNA
Rfam family: Bacterial small subunit ribosomal RNA
Source: RNAcentral